GCGUAAUCAUUGAAAAGACAGAUGGUUCUCAGUUGGAACAUCUAGGCCCAGGAGAUUUUUAUGGAGAGGAACUUCUAGUUUCCCCAUUGUGGACCUCCUCUAGUGAUGCAAAACCCAUAAACCAGUCUGUUCAGGCCAUUGAUGAUGUUCAAGCCCUUGUUCUCUUUGUCACAGACAUGGCGACCUUGAGCUUUAGUUCCAGGCGGUAUAUCAACGAGUUGCGCAUGGUGGUAACUAUUCUUCAGAAAGUAAGCUCCUCUCUAUUUAGAAGAUAUAUAAAAGAUGAAUAACUGGAUUCGCACCUUCCAUCCUAACUAGCUACUAAUAUACAAUGAUGUUACUUAUUUAAUUUAUAUAAUGUUCUCUUUAUGUUUGAGAAAUUAAUAAUGUGUCAAAUCCUAGGUGCCAAAACUUCAAACUAUGGAUAAACAAGUAUUGAAAGCAAUGUCUCAUCAUCUUUCUCCGGUUAGCUAUAAACGCGACGACUAUAUUGUUCGAGAGAACCAACCAGUUAGUAGGAUGUUCUUCGUCACGAGGGGAGAGGUAACAAAAAAUGAGAACCCUCUGGAAGCAAAUUUUAUUGGAGAAGAACUUCUUGAGUGGGUAUUGGAUAAGUCUUUUCCUACCAUAUUACCCUUGUCGACCUGCACUGUUAGAGUAGUCUCAAAUGAUGCCGAAGUCCUCAUUUUGAAGGCCAGGAUGUUGAAGAAUGUAGUCUCUAAGUUCAUGAAGCAUUUCAGCAAUUUCUCCUCUCUCUCAGAUAUCCGGUUAACUUGGCUAAAGAAAGUAAGUUGCUCCAUCUGCAGUACUAACUUUUAACCAAUUUGCUUUAUAUUUUUCUUAACUGACAAUGUCACAUCUAUCUAAUUUUAGGUGGAAAUCUUUCAACAAAUGGAUGAACAAGUGUUGGAAGCAAUAUGCAAGUGCCUUAAGCACAUGAACUUCAAUGUUGCCAAACGCCAUAUUCUUCAAGAGAAAAAACCACUUAAAAUGAUGUUCUUCGUCAUCCGAGGAGUUGUAUUAAUUGAAAGCGAUAGUGCUUUGGAAGUGAACGUUAAAAACACCUGUGAAAUAGGAAGUUUCUAUGGAGAAGAACUUGUACAUUGGGUUACAACUUGGGUACACAAGUCCUUUCCUGCCAAACUACCUUUAUCACCUGGUUCUGCGCUAUGUAGUGUGCGUGGUGGUCCUGUCGAAAUACUUGCUCUCAAAGCCGACGACUUGAAGAGUGUAGUCUAUGAAUUGAGGUCGAAAUUCAUCACGGAAACCACCCUGCCUACAGAUUCUGAUCAGCCUCGAGAACUGACCAUCCUAAAGAAUGUAAGUUCCUCUGGAUGAAGAGAACCUGACCUAUAUAUAUAUAUUAUAUCCUAUAUAUUUUAAUCAUUAUUCUAAUUUCUCCUUUGCCUUAAAUAAAUAUGGUCUCCAAUAAUAUCCUAGGUGGAAAUCCUUAAGACUAUGAAUGAGGAAGUGUUGAAAGAAGUAUGCAAGCAUCUUACUGAAAAAACGUAUAAAGAUGAGUACAUUAUUAUGAAGGAUAAACAAAUGGAAAUGAUGUUCUUCAUCGUCAGCGGAGUUGUGUCAGUAACAAACGAGAGCUCGAAACAUUACCUUAGAGAAGGAGAAUGUCCAAAUCACAGUGGAGAUGAGCUUAUACAACGUUGGGUGCGAUCUAAAUCUACCAGCGUUUCUGCCGAAUUGCCCACCUCUCCUUCUAGUUUUUGGGCCAUCGGUGAAGUUGAAGUUCUGAUUCUUAAGGCCGAAGACUUGGCAAGUGUUCAGCUUGGUGAUCGAAUUGGUUAGUAUUAUCAUGUAUGUGCAACUAAUUAAUUAAUUUUGUCGUGAGUUGUGCAUAUAAUAACGGCAUGUGUGUAGUAAUAAGAUGUUAUCUUCCCACCGCGGCUACAUGCCUGCUUAUAUACAUACGUGCUUUCGUUGUCUGAUUUCUAGUAUUUGAUGAUCUUGGCAGGCUCUUGAGGAAAUGGCAAGGAAGAGUGAUGGUACGAUUACUUGUCCAAGGACAGGUUUGGUUUGCAAUUAAACAAAUCUGGUGAAGGCAUGUGUGUGUAUUUAUGUAUGCAACCCCGCCUUAGUUGUGACCUUUGUUGGAAAAGAUAAGGAGGUGGGGUAAUUGGUUGUACAUUAUUGUGUGGAGGUGCCAAGGUAAGCACUCUUUUUUUUCAAAUACCAAAUUUUCCUCUUCUGGGGAUUGUUUAUUAGAAAAGAAUUAUUAUUUUUUAUUUUUGGUCGAAAAUCAUAUCAUUAAAAGAAGCCCUGGAAAAGGAACAAAAGCUGGUAUCAAAUUACUUAUUAGGGAGGAAGACCAGAACUUUAGAAGCUAACUUCAACAUUUUUUUGUUUAAUUAUCCAAGGCUUAGGCUUGAAUUCAAUAUGUUUUUCAUGAAACUUGCCAAAAUUGAAAUUCUCAUUACAUCACUAGCUAGCUAGCAACAAGACAAUGAAUUAUAUGUCGGCCAUCAUCAUACAAUACGAGUUCGGCGUUAAUUUCGAUUUGAUUUUGCAUCCCACUAGAACUAUAGUAGAACCAAACAAUUCAUCAUGUUCACGUCUGACAUGAAGAAGUUGAGCGUUUGAAGAUGACCCGAGAAAGUGGUCCCCGCGGUCUCUUUGGGAGGUGGAGAUGGAAAGAAAUUCAACUUAGCCAGUCCCUUAGCAGCUGAAUAAUCCCAUGCCAUAACCUCGAGCUUAAUGGCCACUUCUCUCAUGGAGGGCCUUUCAUCCUGCAACCCUAGACAGCUUUUUAAGAGAUCAACCACUUCUUGGCUAUCUCCAAAUUUUCCUCCGUGAUUAUUUUAUCAUCAAGAAUUUGAUCCAAGCGACCCAGCAAAUAUAUAUAUAUAUAUAUAUAUAUAUAUAUUUAGUCCAUGGUAAAGCGUUUAGGAGACGAACAAAUUUAUGAGAAGAAGACUUGGGUAGAAGACUAGAAGUCUGGAAGCCAACAACUUUCGCAUUUCUUUUAUUUAUAAUCCAAGCCUUGAAUUAAAAAUGUUUUUCAUGAGGACUUGCAAAAUGAAAUUUGCUUUGGUUGGGAACGAGAAGACUUAGAAGUAGAUCUAGUCUCGAUGCUUGCUAGCUUUAACAUAUUUUAUUAAAGCCUGGAAUUAAAAAUGUUUUUCAUAAGAACUAGCUUGCACUGCAAUUUAUAAAAUCACAAAUCUUACCAAAAUGAAAUUUGCUUUGAUUUGGGAGAUGAACCAAUUUAGUCAACAAGACUUGCAGAGAAGACCAGAUUUUAUUCUCAAUGCUAACAUAACUUUUUUUUAAAAAAAAAAAAAUCCAAGUCUAGAAUUAAAAUGCUUUUUUUUUAAAUUUUUUUUUAUUGCGAUUAACUCAUACUGGAAUUAAAAGCAAACCAAAAGGUAGAGAAUAGUGAAAUAUUUAAAAUAUCAGCUAAUUUCAUUGGUUAAUGCAAAUCUUAAAAAUUAAAAUUAUUAAUUAAAUGAAGAGAAUAUGAUAAAUUCACACUUUUUCAUAUUAACAUAAUAACUGGUUUUUAUUUUACUCCAUGAAUAAUAUCUAGUUCGCUAAAUAAAAUUUGCGUUUAUUUUUAUGGAUAAUUAAAAGUUUAGGGGGAGAUUGAAGUAAAAUUUGCUUUUCUUUAACAAUUUGUGGCAUUCUCUUCUCAACUUCUCGUGUGCGGUGAAAACUGGUACGUGGGGUUAUUGGAAAUUAUGGUCUUGUAAAUUGUACGUUCCAAUCUUGUAGUUACUACCGGGGGGUCAUCCAUAUAAUUAUUCUAUUACUUCUCAUGUCCAACAUUAAAAAUUAUCCAGAAAACCAUAGUGCAGUGAAGCUGAAAAAGAAAGGAAAAUCAUUAUAAAAAAAAUAGUUACAACACAUUAAAGGAUUCUUUGCCAGAUAGAGUUCAAGAGGAUGAACAGAAAGUUAAAGUCACUACAAUAUUGUUGGGUAUAUAUGAUAGCUGAAGCCAACUGGAAUUGUUGAGCUGGCAGUGGUUAGUUCAGUGUUAGAUGGUUAGGCUGUUACGCAACAGUUUUAGAAGUUCGUUAAGAGCUUAAGAACAAGUGUAUAAAUACUCUAAGAAACCUUGUAAGGAUUUAUAAGGAUCUCACAUUAUUAGAACUUCAGCGUCUAACCUAAAACUAAACCAAUCCUAAUGCAUCAAAGACUAUGCUCUCAUGCAAUACCCAAAGUUCAUAUACGACUACAUAUGUUCAUGCAAAACUGUGAACAAAUCAUGCACUUCAAUUCAUAAGUAAAUGAGCAAAGAUCACAAACCUUGUUUUACACAGUUGUUCCGACUGCCGAAAAUCUUCUAUUCACCGGAAAUCACCUCUCUCAAGCUCAACUUUCGCUCUCAAAUACCAAGUGUUCCCUCAAGCAUAACCCUUCACCUUUUAUACUGAAGCCCUAGCAUCAGGAAGCGAAAGGGCGUAACAAUUAUGACAGCACUCAUCCAACGUGUCCACUCCUAGCAUUCAUUACAAACACAUGCUUGCACGGAAGCCUAGGCCUCAUGCUAAGCGAAGAUUUUUAUCCCAGCAAGCCAACCCCAGCAAAUCUAAUAAGUGCAUCACGAUUCGGAAACCUGUUCCGAUCGACAAAGCAUGCCGAACGGCAGGCUCACAAGGUUGAGUUCACCUCACCCGCCUAGCCGUUCUUCCUAGCAUGUCAAACGGCAGGUGCUCAGGGUCGAGUUCUCCUCACCCUCAUAGUCUUUCAUCUUUUCAUACCGAACGACAAGGGCAUAUGAUAGACUUUCCCCCAAGUACCCUUUUUCCCAACAACCCCAUUGGUUGGAGACUGGGGGGACUAUAUAAGUAUCAUCGGCAAACCACUAGGAACUUGCUAAAAUUCCUGUAGCGAGGCCCGGAUCAGAAUGUCGAAGACAUGUACGAGUACCCAACCAAGAAGUCCUUUCUCAAUCGAGAACUUGGGGGAGUCAUGUUGGUACCAUAUUUGACUAGGUCUCUCACGCCACGACACAUGGAAAUGACCUGACACCAAGCAGGGCCUAGAAGCCCAAGUUGGCCAGCCUUACGAGUGGUAGAUGCCCUGAGCACCCACUAUUGAUUCUACACUGACCGGCUCUUCACGUAGGCUCACAAUUGACAAUCGGCAUGUGUGCUCAGCACCCGUUGUCAAUUCAGGCUCCCAAAAGAUAUCUCAUAGGGAUGUGUUGUGUUCUUUACUGGUAUACUUUCUAGGAUACAUGGUAGUUCCCCAAGCUAUUCCCACAAGUCCCACAUCGAAAGUUUAUACCAAUGAAACACCAAAACUUCUAUAAAUAAGGCCUUUUGCGGGCAAAAGGUAAUAGCGACUUUACACUUAUGCCCUUACUUUGUCAUCAGCUAACUUAUAUUUUCUUCGGCUAACUUUAGUAUUGGAGGGCCUUCGGUCGGUAUCACACCAAUGUCUUAGGUCUUACCUACUGCUUUUUUCCUUUCUCUGAGAAAUGCCGACGGACAUGCUUACUGAAGGCAUAUCAGAUCACACAUCAUCCUUAAAUUUGGGCCCACUACUGAUCAUCUAGUUUUGAGCACAAACAACUGCAAUGAAGUAGAAUGUUCAAAUCACAGCGGAGAUGACCUUAUAGAAUAUUGGAUGCAAUCUAAAUAUAUUGUCUUUUCUACCAAGUUGCCCUUAUCUCCUUUUAAUUUUUGGGCCAUCGGUGAAGUUGAAGUUUUCGUUCUAAUGGCCAACGACUUGGCUGAGGUUCAGCCUCGUCCAAGUGCAACUGUAAAUUGAUUGUUCAAUUAUUCAAGUUUAUUAGCAAUUUUGUUCUGUAACUGUUGGAAUGUCAUGUGCUCUAUGUACAUAAAUCAUUCCCUGUCCAAACGCAACCGCAUAUCUCCUUCAAAAUAUCUUUCUUUUGUGGGUCGGAAAACCAAAUUGAAAUUAAUAGUAUCUACAAAUUACCUUACCGAAACGUAUUCUGUAUUUUUAUAUUGAAUUAAUUUGAAAGAAAUCCAAGUAGCUUAUCAUCUACGUGUACAUCACAUAGUUGUGCAAUCACUUGAAAGGUUCAGACGGCAAGUUGUAUAAGACUCUUUCAACGAGAAAGUCUCAAUUCCAAAUAUAUAGUUCUGUGGCCCGAAAUCACUUCCAGUCGCUUUAAGAGAGAUGAGUUGGGAGUGUAUAUUGAGUGCAUGCAUUGUAGCUAGCUGCUAAUUAUAUUCAGAGAUGCUGCUUUGCCUUGACCUGAUUCAGAUAUAUACUGUUUUUGUGUGGGAAGGAUGGAAGGAAGAGUAUCAAAAAACAAGGUUCAUCAAAUGUCAACCCUAUCUACUUAUACGCCAAAUAUUGUUCACAUGGCAAUCAUACGUCAUAGUUGAUAACUACAGUGUUUUCUUUCUUUCCAAUCUCAUUGUUUUGCGUUGAGUACAAUUUGGACACACAUAUCGUUACUGCUUAAAACGUCCACCGUCAAGACCUUAUCCAUGGAAAUUCAUUUUCCCUUAUUUCACACCUGCAAUAAUUCCACAACUAAUACUCCCAGAAAACAGGCCACAGAAAUGGGCCACGUGGCCACCUAUUCUGGACCAAACAACAUCGACAUUAUAUAUUUACCAUUUUUAUUAUGGAGAAUGCUAGCAAUCUUUUUUCUAACUUUCUUUUUUGGACUUUCUCUCUUGUACAUGUGUUACUUUCUCUACACUUAAAACAAUGUCAUUAAUGCAUUAGACAAUUUAUCUUUUUUUUCCCAAAUUGUGAAACCCCGUAUUUAUAAAAUUGUAUAGUUUGAAGAUUUGAUAUUUUGCCAUUUAAUUUAUAUAUUAUAUUAUAUUAUAUUAUAUAUGUGUGUAUUACAUAAAUAUCCUAAUACAUUAUAUAUGGAUAUGCUUAGUCAUUGUUAGUGUAGUACGUGUCAAAGAAAAACAAAUGCUUAGCAAGCAUAGCUAUAUACUAGCCUUGUCAAUUCACCAAGAAAAGUUGUAUAGGAUUGGAGGAAUUGGGAACUACCCCAUCUACAAAGCUAGACCACAUAAAAAUAACUUGGAUGGUAAGUGUUUGUAAACCGCCAAACACCAUCCAAUAGGAAGGGAGUCACUGCCGAUAUAUUCCUUAUAUAUAUAUAUAUAUAUAUAUAUAGGACGUGAGUUGCAUAGCAAACGGAAAAAAAUACAACAAGAGAGAAAUAUUGGUAGAGAGGAGUAAGGAAAAGAGUGAGAAACUGAGUUUGUGAAUUCGAUGGAAAAUUGGGAAACACUUUACAUUUCUAGCAAAAGCUUUGGUAUCAAGGUAGGGGUUUCUUGGUGACCUUUUACAAAGAUUGAUCUAAUUAAAUUUCGUGAGCUCUAUAUUAUGUGUGAUAUUGUAUAAUGUUCUUGAUAUACUAUAUUUACGUAUUGUGAACUAUUUGAAUAAUGUUAGCAUAAUUAUAUCAUGUCAUGGUAAUUGGUCGGAGUUGUUGGGUGGAGAAGAUAAUUGUGGAAAAGAGGGUAAUAAGAAGGUUCUUUUGUGUAGUUGAGUCUGACCAUUGUAGGGACCAAGUUCAGGCAAGCUCGUGUGCACAGUAGAUUAGGAAAUCGGCGGUAUAAUUGUCGAUUGGGUGAUUUGGGCUUGGAGAUCAAUGGUAUAGACAAGAUGACUAGCAAAAGGGGAAUUAUGAGAUAACUGUGAUGGGUGUUAGUUUAUAUAAUGGGGCAUUCGGAAUCACAGUGGUAAAAUGCAUGGUAUGGGACAUGCAAAUUUGCUUGCCCUACUAUAUAGAUUAACGGGUUGGGUAGAAUUGAAGAGCAUUCAUGCAUCAUUAUUAUUAUUAACAUUAAUGUGAUAUUUGGCUGUGUGAUUGCAUGUCACUUAAUUUAGUUAUAUCAAUCUACUAUGGUAAGGUCUCAUAUCCCUACUAAGCUGUGGUUGCUCAUCCCUCACCCUGUUUACUUUUUCAGAUGAAUUAGUGGGCAAGACAAGGAGUAAAUCGGUUGGGGCUGAAUUAGAUGAUAGUGAUAGAGCUUUAUUUAUUUAUUGUAAAGUUGUAAGAUUUUGGAUCUAUUUUUAUAAAAGAAGUUUAUUUUAAACCAUGUUUUGGCUUUUAUCUAUUUAUUUUAUUUUAGUUUUUAUUUUCUCACGCACUGGGCGCGGGAUUUUUACGUACCUCGGUCCGGGGCGUGACACAAAUUUACCCAUAUUAAAUGCAUUAAUUUUAUAUUUUCUUCAAUUUACAACUUAAAGUUCAAUUAAAUAAACAUUUGAAAAUAAAUUUAAAUUUUUUUUUAAAUUUAAUGAACAUUCUAAUGGAUUAAAAAAGUUAAAAAAUAAAAAGAAAUAGAAAAAAAAGAAGAUGAAAAUCCAAACCCAUUACACCAUCUGUCUCUCUCUCUGACCCAAAACCCAGCCCCCUCCCUUGGCCAAAACAACAGUCCUCAUCCGUACCCAAUCAUCAUCAUCGCUUUCCAAUCCAAAACCCCACCAUCCAUUGUACCUCUCGCUCUCUCCUCCGAUUCCAUACCAAAAAACUCAUCCCCCUUCCCUCACCAAGAAAAAAGUGAACAAUUUUUUAUAUUUUAUAUUUUAAAUCAUUGACGUUAAUUUUGUGGAAUAUGUUAAUUCUCCCUUAAUGUUUUUAACAAGAUGCAAACAAAAGUUAGUUUGUUCAAUGCAUUUAAUAAGGUAAAUUUGAGAAACAAAAGAUACAUUGUCUAAUGUAUUAAUGGCAUUUUUUAAGUAUAAAAAGUGACACAUGUCAUGAGGGGAAGAGAGAAGGUUCAAAAGAGAAAGUUAGAGAGAAGGUUGCUAACAUUCCCCUUUUAUUAUAACAUGACUUUAGUCUUUAUGAGUCCCGAUCCCUUUAAAAGUAAAGUUUGAGUAAUAAAUUACUAAAAGAAAUAAAUUAUUAGGUGUUUAAUGUACAUACCCUUAAUAAAGCCUAAACAAAGGUGUUUAGGCAAAACUCUUCUCACUGCAAAAAUUCCUAGCACAUUCUCUCCCAAAAAACACUCCUAAAGCCGUUUUUACUUUGAAAAAGGAGGAAGCCAUUGUUCUUCCUCCCAUCUCCCCUCUCCCCUCUCCCCUCUCCUCUCUUCUUUCCUCAUUUUCAUAGACAAAAGGUUUUCCCUAUUUGUCUUCGUUUUGUUAUGACAGUCAAAGUGUUAUAUACUUAGUCAAGAACCAAGUGUUUCAUAGAAGGUCUAAGCAUAUUGAUAGACGAUAUUACCGGAUAAGAGAUUGGGUGAACAAUAAGGAUAUUGUAAUAGAGAAGGUUCAUACAGAUGAGAACGCUUCAGAUUGCUUGAUCAAGCCAGUCACAGCUAAGAAGUUCAGACAUUUUUGAGCUUGCUCAAUCUUGUUGCAUGCUAAAGAUUGAGGUGGAGCUCUUGGGAAUUACUAGAACGGUUUUCCAAGAGGGUUGAAAAGGAUCUAGGGGUCGAUGAUUUUCACAAGGUAUUUAAGGCUUGCCAAUGUGGAUAUUGUUGAUGUUGGCUCACCUCAAGAUAUGGAAGGAUUGAAGGAAACGGGCAGUCAAACGAGCAACAGACGUGUUGACUGGGCUCUGGCCCUCAAGUGGCAGAACUCUGACUCGAGAUGAAACAGGCGCUCGAGCGGCGCGAGUGGCGCUCUAGCAAGACACGUGAAUCCAGCGUGUAUCCCUGACUUAUCUGGACAGAUUUUCUCUUAGUUUUGAGAUGUUUUAGGUUUCCUAUUCCUUGUAUAAUAGUACUAAAAUCCCAUGAAGUAUAAAUAGGCACUUUAGCACUAGAUUUUGAUAACGUGAGAAAAUUAAGACAUCAAAUUGGGUUGAGCCAAGGGUGAAAGAAAAGAGAGUUAGGAUUUGUGAGAGAGCAAAUGGGCUUCUUCAUUGUAACCAAAGAGGUUCUUUCGUACUAGUGAAUUUCUUAGGGAUCACCAAGAGGACGUUGACACAACGGCAAACCUCUAUAAAUUCUUGUGUUCUUUGUUUGUGUUUAUUUUUCAGUUUGUGUGUGUGCUUUAUCUUUUCGUGACUUGUGUGUGAUUGUUGCGUAGUCAAUCAACAAUAUGGUCUUGAAGUGUUAUGAUUUUAAAGUGCCUAUGUCUUUGUCACUGUGUGUUUCGUACUUUUUGGAGCAGAAGGAAAAACACAAAACCACCGAACACUUUACAAUUUUGUCUGUCCUUUCCCCCUUAUUGAUAUCAUUGAAAUAAAAGUUGCAAUGAAACCACAAGGUGCCAUUAAGAAGGUCAUAUCAUUACAUUACUUGCUCCCUGUAUACUGCUCAUGAACCGUGAAGACUUUAUCCAUGUAAAGUCAUUUUCCCAUUCAUACCUGCAUUAGUUCCACAACUAACAAGUGCCAAAAAAAAGUCUCUCCUUUUAAUUCCGCAACGUGCAUUCAAUAAGAUUCAAAACGUGGCAGAAAACAGUCCACACAAACGCUUCACGUGGCCACGUACCUUGGACCAAACAGCAUGUACACAGUACAUACAUCUACCAUUCUUAUAAACUUGACUUUAAGUUGUAGAAAAUUUGAGAUUUAAAGGGGAUUUGCUCCAUCAUUUGCAUUCCAGAAUUCUAGCAAAGAUCAGAUUCAGUUUCUGCCAAAAAAAAAAAAAAGGAAGAAGAAGAAAGGUUUGCAUGGCUACCGGUGAAGUAACUGUAGUAGUGGAGAACAUAGAAGGGAACAUGGAAGGGAAAACUGAAGCAACAGACAACUCGAAAGAGAAAGUUGCAAGGUUAGUUUGUAUAUAUACGUACAACUUUAACAUGCAUGCACCAUUUUCAUUUUUCCUUUCUUAAAUAAAUAUUCUUAUAUCAAACAAUGCAAAGUCCCCACUACAGAACAUAACCUUUUCGUUCAAAAAAGAAAAAAGAAAAAAAAAGAACAGAACCUUUUGUUGUUUUGAGAACAACUAAAGUCAUUGCGUUGUAAUAAGCCAAAUAUUUAAACACAUAUGGUGGUACAUAUAAUAAAAUAAUACAUAGUAAAAUUAAAUUAAUGGACUGCUUUUUCUUGUCAAACGAGCUGAUAUGCGCAAAUUUACAUUUUUUUUUUUUUUUCGUUUUUGUUUUUCUCCAGUGAUCGUUAUUCAAAUUCAGAGGCAACAGUGAAAAACUCAGCCAUGAAAGAUGAAGAUGGAUCAAAUAAAAAAGAGGACGAAAAUCAUGAUACUCGUUGGGGGGCUUUCCUUCAAAUGUGGAAGAAGAUAUUUGUAGUAUCAUGUCUGUUUACUGUUGCACUGGAUCCAUUGUUUCUCUACGUUCCUAUGAUGAAGGAUGAUAUCAAGUGCCUGCUGGCCGACAGAAACUUGAAGACAACAGCUCUUCUUUUAAGAUCACUCACUGAUCUUUUCUAUAUAUUUGACAUUAUUUUGUAAAUUUAUACAUCUGCUAAAUAUCGUGUCAGUGUCACACAAAACGACUCGAAAAUAAGGUUUUCGUGGAAAUCAACAAUAGCUAAGAUGUGGGUAUUCUUCCGCUUCUACAAUAAUAUCUUCAUUGACAUUUUGGCUAUUCUUCCGCUUCCACAGGUUAGACCUUUAUUGGAAUUUACUGACUAGUAGCAAAAGAGGCAAAAGCCACAAUUUACCUAGCCACAGUGGGCCGACAGUGGCCAAUAUUAGUGAUCUUUGCUCGUGAUAAUUUGAUUUUAAAUGUUUGUAUUAUGUUGUCCAGGUAGCAAUUUUCAUCUUCCUUUCAAAAAUGAGGGACUUGAGAUCUUUGAGCACAAAAAGGAUGGCUAUUAUGAAUCUUUUUGUUUUGUUGCAAUAUGUGCCACGAGUUCUUCGGAUCUACUUAUCAUGUAAGGAACUUAAAAAAACUCCUAAAGAAGAGAUCAAAGAAACUGCUAUAUGAGUUAAAGGUGUCUUGAAUUUCUUUAUGUAUAUCCUGGUUAGUCAUGUAAGUAACAAUAUUUAAUCUUGAUAAAUGAUUUGGUUGGAUUUUUUUUUCCGUAAAAGGCUAGGUUCUUAACUCAAUCAACCUUGAUGAAUGGAAAAUGUACAUGGGGCAAAAUGAUCCAUAUUACAAUAGAGUAGGCAUAUACUUAAUAUUCUUGAGUUACAUUUUCACAAAACAAUAAUGUUUCAUAACAUUAAGUCCUUCUUCCAAUCCUUAUUCGUGUAUGUUCUUUUUUCCUUUUUGUUAUAACCAAAGGCAUUCAAACUCUAGUCUCUUGGGCGUAAGGGUAAAUACCUCGUACUGCUAUAGGUAGAAACUCUCAUAAUUUUCAGUCUAUGUUUAAAGGGUGAAGAUAAGUUGUUGAAAUAAGGAAACUGUCCUAAUCACGAGAAUCUAAUGUUGUGACGCAAGGAGGCGACUCCUUCCAAAUACGCCAAAUUUGACAGUAUUUGAUAAAUAUAUUUUGAUGUAUUUUUGUUUAACUUGAGUGAAGUCAAAAAUUAAAAUAUAAUUUUAUUCAUAUUUUCAUCAUCACCUCUAAGUCUAAUCUAAUUAACAAACUUGUUAUUAUUUAGGUACUUGGAGCUAUAUGGUAUUUUUUCGCUAUUCAACGAAUGACCAUUUGUUGGUGUGAUGCAUGUCGGAAAAAAAAGGGAGGUGAUACUAGUUCUUUUGGCUGUCAUGAGCAUAACACAUUUAGAAAUAUUAAAUUUUUAAAUGAUUUAUGCCCUAUAAGUCCAGCGAAUACAACGCUCUUUGAUUUUGGUAUAUAUAGUACAAUCCUUCAAUCUGGUAUACCAGGGUCAACAAAAUAUUUUCAAAAGAUCUCCAAUUGUUUUUGGUGGGGACUGCGAAAUUUGAGGUUUGUAAUUUUUUUUUUUUUUGGUGUUGUUUGUUUGAACUUUGAUGGGUAAUGAUGAAUUUGCUUACUUCCAAUCAUAUAUAUGUUUUACCAUUUCAUUUUUGCAGUUCUCUUGGUUAAAAUCUUGAGCCUAGCGUGGAUGGAUGGGAGAACCUCUUUGCUGCGUUCAUCUCUAUAAUUGGAUUGCUUUUAUUCUUAUAUCUCAUUGGAAAUUUGCAGGUUAGGCUUGAGUUUAAUUUAAAGAAAGUUGAAUGUAUCGUUUUUGAUUUGAAGGAUUCAUAAAUAACUAAUACCUAGUUAAGAAUGACUGAGCUGCUUGUUGUGGCAUGCAUAUAUAUAUAUAUAUAUAGACAUACAUGCAGUUGAUUACUGCACGAAGAGAAGACCAUAGACACAAGGUGAAAGUGAAACGAAAGAUGGAAAAGAAAGAUAAAGAGACAGUUGUGGUUAUCUGAAAAUGGCAUCCCCAAAAAGUUGAAGAAGACGGGGAUGCUGAUUUGGACUAUAUCUUCUCUAUUCUUCAAAUCCGUAUUAAAAAAUAUAUGCAGGUAAGUUCCUCUAAACCCAUGACUUUAAUUAAGUAGUAGUGGCCUUUCCAUCUACAUAUACUCCAGGCUGAAAACACCCAUCCUAAUCUCAUUUAGUAAAAAACAGUAAACAAGUACAUCUUUGAAAACUUGCAAAUUCAUAACCAAACUCAUGAAAGACCUAAAUGGACCAAAACCAUUUUAAUUGCUUACGUGACAAUAACGAGUCCCACUUUUUACUCUGAUAAGAAUUCCAGGUGGGUGAAAAAAAUUAAAAAAUUAUAUAUAUUUUAAAUUCAUUUACCACAUUUUUAUCCCACAUUUCUAUACCACAUGAUGUGGUAUGCCUAUAUCAUAUGCCAUGUCAAUUAAUUUAAUGAAGUAUAUCUCUAUAUUUAAAGCAAAAGGCAAAGAAUGGUGAAACAUUCAAAAUACUGGGAAAUGCCCUUGGUUAAUUCAAACAUUAAGAAUUGAACUUAUUAAUUAAAUGAGGAUAAUAUCAUAAAUUCACAUUUUUCUAUUUAAAAAAAUUAAAAUUAAAAACAAAAUAAGAUAAUAGGCCCUACUUUUAUGGAACAUAACUACUCAUGUUAUCUUUUCUUAAUUCUAAAAAUAAAAUAAAAAAUAAAAAAUAAAACCAAUUGGCACAUGCUCGGGCUAGUUCAUGUGCCAAGGGGCUAGUUUUAAUAAAGAAAUUUUAAUUAAUUGUGUUUUUUAAAGUGUUAAUAAAUCAUAAAAGAAAAAAAUUAAAUAAAUUUAAUUGAUGUGGUUGUCUACCUCAUUUGCCACAUAAGGUGGUAUACAAAUAUGAUAAGAGUAGCAUUAUUCAAAAAAGUUAUAAAAUAAUAAAAAACACAAUGAUCAACCAGCCCCACCUCCUCUCCCCGAUCUCCAUCCUCCGUUCCUCCCAGCCCCCAGCUCCCACCCCUUCACCGUCAACCUAACCCAUCCAUCCCCACCCGCUCCCUUUGUCUCCUACAAACCAACGACCUAACUCUCCCUCUCCUUUUUAAGAAACCAUAUGUCAAUGAAGGUGAAGACAUUCCCACCCAAACUUAUCUAAGAAACCCCAAUCAUCUUCCCAAUGGCGGGUAAUAGUUAGCUGGUGAAAGGACCCGCCCCGAAUUUUCUCAAAACUCGAGACGAACCCUUUGGAAUUCCUGACAUCACUUUGAUGCCAGACCCAAUUACUAAAGACCGAGACUUCCUGCAGGAAAUUUCGGCAGAGUCUCCCCUAUAAAUUGGACAUUUUCCAAAAUUUAUACCUGCAUGAAAACGCAUUUAAUAUUCCCAACUGGCAGCAUGCACAAUAUAAUUUCAUGCAAUUCACACAGAUGGCCUUCGGCCUUCCAAUAAUUCUUAACCAACUACCAAGCAAUUCAAAUACAAAUUAUGACUAAUAUUUAGUCUGCGGCUGCACCUAAUAACCUUAGGCUGCCUACGUACCCUCCUUGAAGGAUCAAGCCACACGUAGUUCUUCCCUAAAAAUCCAAUUCCACACUUGGGCGAUGCCUUAUUUCAUUUCUCUGUAUUUCACAUAUUCUCCCCAUACGCCGGUACAACCAACGCCACGUAUGAGGCCUGUCAACACGCCGGAUAACCUACGCCACGUGCGACCAUGCCAUACUAUCAUAAUAUCUCCUCAUACGCCGGUACAACCAACGCCAAGUAUGGGGCCUGUCCCAACGCCGGAUAACCUACGCCACGCGGGACCUCAAUAUCAUAUCACAAAUCUCCCCAUACGCCGGUACAACCAACGCCACGUAUGGGGUCUGUCGACACGCCGGAUAACCUACGCCACGUGCGACCUCAACACAAUAUCACAUAAUCUCCCCAUACGCCGGUACAACCAACGCCACGUAUGGAGCCUGUCUCAACGCCGGAUAACCUACGCCACGUGAGACCUGAACAUCAUAUUACAUAGCUCCCCAUACGCCGGUACAACCAACGCCACGUAUGGGGCCUGUCCCAACGCCGGAUAACCUACGCCACGCGGGACCUAACUUUCACUUGGCGGUACUUGUAGUGAAUCCAACAUCCGGGGCUCCGAUUCACGAUCUGUGAAUUCCUACACGAUCCUAGAAAUACGUAGAUUAACAUAUAUUAAAUUUGGGACCAUCCGACGGUCCCAACCUAUCGAACCCGGAUAACGCACAAUAUGCGAUUAUCCGUUCGAUAGUCAAACGAUGUCCGAAUUGAGAUCCGCGAAAUCCUACGCACUCGUGACAACCUAAGGAUCUCAUCGGAACACAGUGCUACUUUUCUACAGUGUCCACGCGCCGCCGCACGCUCCGGCAGCGUGUGGGUGCCCAAAGCGAUAACGCUUUGCCGGAAAAGCUCAAAACCACGGCUCCAAACUCCUACCCUAGGUAUAACACACUAUUUGGAGCCACUUUUGUUCUUGGACCUACCCCAAAAAGUGGCCGGAAAUGGCCGAUCACGGCGGCCGAAGUUCGGCCGAUUUUCAAUUUGAAAAUCGAGUUGUCUACGCUAAGAAUCGAUCUAAUCCUUUCCAACCAUCAGCUAGAGCAGCUCGAGAGGUUCAAAAUCCAUACCUGGGUCGACGGAAUUGGUGGCCGGAGGAGGGAGAUCGGCGGCUGUGAAGAUCCGGCGACGUCGGCCGCUUCUUCUCCAAAUUCCGGCGAAACCGCGGAUGCUGGAGGCGGGGGCUGGCUGGGGUAGAAAGAGGACGACGGCCAGGUCAUUUUGGUACCGAUCCCGUCGUCAUCGGUGGCCGGAGGAGAGCAUGGCCGGCCAAAACGUGACCGGCUGUCGCGCGCGAGAGAGAGGAGAGAGAGAGACCCGCGGGGGAGAGAGAGAGAGAGAGAGAGAAAAAUCUGAGUUUUAUAAAAAAUUCCAUUUCGAAAUAUUUACGAUUGUGCCACUGGGCUUCUUUUGACCAUAUCUCUCUCGUUACAACUCCGAUUCGAGCCCACUACGUGUUUAUGAACUCGUCUCAGUACGACCUUUUCAAAAAUACUAGUUACUGCCCCAAACUCUCUUCGGUUAAAAAUAUGACUAAAAUACUCUUAAAUAAUUAAUUAAUUAAAUAAGGGUUAAAUUCGGGGUCGGGGUGUUACAGCUGGUUUGUCAAAUCCUUCUCUCAACAACAAUCGGGGGACUCAAAGAAGCGCAAAGAGGCGCAGUUGCACCUCCCCUCGCCGGAUACCAUAGAAGUCAGUCAUUUUGACCCCUUGGGCGGCUGGGCAAGAAUGCCCACAACCUGUUUGUGGGAAAGCCGGAAUAAAGAGCAACAAAGCAGCAAGUGCGGUCUAUUUUUCUUUUUAAUAUGUUUUAAGAUCUCCGUGUGCAUUAUACGUGUUUAGUUUUUGUUCUAUCAAAGACCACAUCAUGCUGCUACUUUAGUUUGAGGGUAGAGCAGUCAUUAGAGCUUACUAGAAUAUGCAUUUCAUAAAAAAAAGAAGGAAUAAUUGGAAGUGAGUUUUCAUGUUUUAUUAGGACCACCAAAAAAGAAGUGGAGAGAUACUAGAGUUUGAUGGCUUAACCUAAAAAUAUUUUGAUAUAUAUAUAUAUAUAUAUACAGUCCCUUUUUAUUGAGGGAUUUCUCAAAUAAUUUCAUUUGAGGGACACCCUUUAGGGUCCUCUACGAAUUUUUUUUCAACGAUCGAAACCAUCUAUUUUUUAAGUCUAUAUUCAUAGAUAAUCCUUGAAGAAAAUUAGACAAAUCGGAAACUGUUUUGAUAUCCAAUUGUGUCCUACAAAAUCAAUGAACACAAUGCUUCAAGAAAGUACUAAAAUUUCAAUAAUUCAAUUGAGUGGUCAAAUGAUAUCGGAUUCAAGUGAUUUUUUGUAGAGAUAUCUUUGAAUGAGUAUCUACAAAAGAGAUGGUUUGGAUUAGUGAAAUACAAUACAGAGUGGGCCCUACAAUGGUAUCCCUCAAAUAAGCUAAUUUGAGGGAUCCCUCAAUGGAAGCUCUCUGUAUAUAUAUAUAUAUAUAUGAUCUUUGAAUGAGUAUCUACAAAAUAGACGGUUUGAAUUAGUGAAAUACAAUAUAAAGAGGGGCCUAAAAGGGGUGUCCCUCAAUGGAAGCUCUCUGUAUAUAUAUAUAUAUAUAUAUAUAUAUAUAACUUAACUCAAACUUCAGACUAAUGCAUAUGCAGAAAAUAAUGCAUAUAUGAAAUUAAUCAAAAUAGGAUAAUUUUGAAAAUAGCAACUUUUUAUUAUACUCACAGAGGUUGCAACUGCAAAUAAGCUUAUUUGAGGGACACCCCUGUAGGCCCCACUCCGGUUUGUAUUUCAAUAAUCCAAACCGUCUAUUUUGUAGAUACUCAUUCAAAGAUCAUCCCUACAAAAAAUCUCUUGAAUCCGAUAUCAUUUGACCACUCAAUUAAGUUAUUGAAAUUUUAGUAUUUUCUUGAAGUACCGUGUUCAUUGAUUUUGUAAGACACAAUUGGAUGUCGAAACGGUUUCCGAUUUGUCUAAUUUUUUGUUAGGAUGAUCUAUGAAUGAAGACCUAAAAAAUAGAUGGUUUGGAUCAUUGGAAAAAAAAUUGUAGGGUACCCUAAAGGGCGUCCCUCAAUAGAAGGGGACUGUAUAUAUAUAUAUAUAUAUAUAUGAAGCAAGUAUUUAGAACUUAAAUGAAGAAAACGCAUCCAAUUACAACCAUUACAUAUCAUCCUAGCUACACGGUACUAACUUUUAGAAGAUUUGCUUCAUAUUUUUCUCAAAUAUUGUAUCUAUUUAUAGGUGCCACUACUUAAAGGCAUGGACGAAGGAGUUUUGAGAGAAAUCUCUGAGAAGCUUAAGCCCGAGAAGUAUACCCGUGGAGAAAUCAUUAUAAACAAGGAUGAAACACUUGAAAUGAUGCUUUUCAUCGUGGACGGACAUGUAACCAUUGAAAAGGAAAAUUCUCAGUUGCAAUUAGGCGCACAAGAUUUUUAUGGAGAGAAACUUCCGUUAUCUGUUUUGUGGACCUCCUCUAGUGAUGCAAAACCCAUAAACGAGUCUGUUCAGGCCAUUGGACUGUUGCAAUCCAAUGGUACAAAUUCAAUUUUUCCAAUUUUUUUAAUUAAAAAAACUAAGUGUCUAUUUCCAAUCAGACAACCUUGAUUGAAUCUAAUGAAAUUUAACGGUAAAAAAAAUAUCCAAGGCCAAAAGGUUGAUAUUAGUUAAUUUAUAUCAUAUUCAACCUCGAAAAUGAUUCCUAGGUCUAUAUACCCACCCAUUUGUUCAUAAUUCGUGCCUCUUUCUUUUAUAAUCAAAUACAAUUAUAUUUUUAUAAUUUAUAACUUUCUAGUGAAAAUGUUCAUAAAACUAAUUUUUUUUAAAUGUAAACAAAAAUUAAUUCCAUACAAGUUCAUCAAAAAAUUUGAGAUUAAGAUACAAUACGAGUUUUAUUGGAGUUGAAUAUAAGUCAGUUUUUAAAAGUCUCGCCCAUUUAAAAGUAAAGUUCGAGUAAUAAAAGAAAUAAAUUAUUAACACACAAUACGAGUGCCCGUGAUAUUGAUGCAAAUUUACCCUUCUAAAUCAAUAAUUAUGGGCUAUUUUGUGCUCCAAAGUUCAUAUUCUGCUGAGCACUCAUCGCUUUAAUUUGGAUACUAAUCAGAAGGAUAAUUGCACAAAGCUGUGAAACUAAAUUAUAUUGAAUCUCGUGAAAGUCACGUACGUAUAGAUCCAUUUACAUAUAUUGAAUUAUCUAAUUUGACUUUGUCCUUCACGUGAUUCAAAUAAUGUGGUAAAAUUGUUUUUUAAAUAAUGAUGAUGAUGAUUUGCACCAACUUCCUAAAAAUGUGGAAAUUUUGUUUUUUUUUAAAAUUGCGAGUCGCCAUCUUCAUCUUCACCUUCAUUUGUGGUGACUUUGAUAGUCUAACUGAUAUGAUUUUAAAACGUCUAUGUCUUUGUCGUUGUGUUUGUCCUUCCUCCUCUGUCAACCACAAUUAUUGUUCACAGCCAGUUGCCUCUGAUUCGCUACACUUAGUGGAAGAGUAGUAGGGGACAAGGUUUAUCAAAUGUCUACUACACUAAGUCUCUCACAUAUCUUAUUUUAUAUAGCAAUUAUUGUUGAUCUAAACUCUUAGAAGCUUCAAAACGAGAGCAUCUACCAUUCUUAUAAUUAACUUGACUUCAGUUUGCUCCCAUCAUUUGCAAAUUCCACUAGCAAGAUCAGAUUCAGUUUCUGGAAAAAGAAAAAAAGACAAGAAAACAAAAAAGCUUUGAGUUUUAUAUGGCUUCCGCUCACGGUGAUUUAGAGAACGCUGAAGCAAGGUUGGUUUCUCUAUAUACGUACGAGUUUCAUAUGCAUGCCCCAAAUUCAACUUUUUUCCUUUCUUACAAAAAUAAAUGUUUUUAAUUAUAUUGUUAUUGAUCUAGAACAGUUUAACCUUUUGUUGUUUUAAGGACAUGCUAAAGUCAUUGCAUUGCUAUAACAUUAAUAAUAGUAUAAUCACAGCCAAAUCUUUAAUUAUAUCCUAUAUACGUAAUUUUAUGUUCUUUGUGUCUUGGCCAGCAGAACAGAUUAUCCAAAUUCAAACCAGACAACGGAAAAUUCUUCCACGAGAGAUGUAGAGGUGAAAAAUUCAAAAAAUGCAGCACGGUUGACUAAAAUAUUUAUAACAUCAUGUGUGCUUGGCGUUUUCCUGGAUCCUUUGUUCCUCUACAUUCCUCUCCUCAACCACGAUUUGAAGUGUCUGAGGUUGGACAACACCAUAAAGAUUAUCGCUCUCGUCUCGCGAUUGUUCACUGAUCUAUUUUAUGUAGGCAGAAUAAUUUUGCAAGUUUGUAGAUUUGAAAAUUGUUCGCCUUUCAUGAAUCGAAUUCUUCCCGAAAGUUGCUCCUCCAAGUUAAUAACAUCAUUCAUCAAAUGCUUUCGUGAGUUAUUACCUGAAGUAACUGAAGUUCAUGAGAAGGAAUAUCUAAUACCAAGUAUAACAAAGGAGAUACUGGAGUCGUCCAUCAUAGUUGACAUUUUAGCUAUUCUUCCUCUUCCACAGGUAUGAAGAAAAGCUCUUUGAUAUCUAGACUCUAGAUCCAGUAGUUAAUUGCUUUUCCAAUCUCACUGUUUUUAUUUUUUAUUUUGGUCAUAAAUCUCACUGUUUUUGUUUGCAUGCAAUGAUAUAUAUAUAUAUAUAUAUAUAUAUAUAUAUAUAUAUAUGAGUUGGUCCUUUAUGAGUUGUUCUCUACUACGGACGUCCAUAUUUUUUCUAACAUCGUCCUACAUGUUCUUUUGCCUUCCUUGUGAUAAUAAAUUAACCUUAUCACUUUUCUUGGUAAAGGUAGAAUAGAAACCAUGCUCUACCAAUACUUAAAAGUCAAACAUCACCUCUAGAUUGGCUUUUCCUUCAUUGGUGGCCUGUAGAGAGAAUUUGGAGGCUGUUAUGUGUGCUUUAGUGCCUUUUUUUUAAUGAUAAAGAAGAGAGAUGUAGAAAACAAAAUGGAAAUGGUUUUCUUCCCAUUGAAUGAAUGAAUUCAUUCUGAUCAUGUGAAAAAAACAAAACGAGUCUGGACAUUAAGCAAUUCCGGACGUCCGCACUAGAGAAUAGUCCUCUAUAUAUAUAUAUAUAUAUAUAUAUAUAUAUAUAUAUAGAGCUUUUAUUAAGGGAUUCCUCAAAUUAGCUUAUUCGAUGGACACCUUUGUAGGGUCUACUUCGCAUCAUAUUUCACUAAUCCAAACCGUCUAUAUUUUAGAUAAUCAUUCAAAGAUUAUCUUUACAAAAAUCACAAGAAUAUGAUAUCGUUUGAGCACUCAAUUGUGUUAUUGAAAUCUUAGUACUUUCUUGAAGCACCAUGUUCAUUGAUUUUGUAGGAUACAAUUGGAUGUCGAAAUGUUUUCCGAAUUGUCUAAUUUUUUGCAAGGAUGAUCUAUGAAUUUAGACUUACAAAAUAGAUGGUUUGGAUCGUUAGAACAAAAUUCAUAGUAUACCCUAAAUGGUGUGGGAUCCCUCAAUAGAAAGGGAUUAUAUAUAUAUAUAUAUUAGGGAUCCCUCAAAUAAGUUUAUUUAAGAGACACCCUUGUAGGACCCACUUUGUAUUGUAUUUCACUAAUUCAAAUCGUCUGUUUUGUAGAUAUUCAUUCAAAGAUCAUCUUUACAAAAAAAAUCACUUGAAUCCAAUAUCAUUUGACCAUCAUAUUGAAAAUUUUGUACUUUUUUGAAGCACCGUAUUCAUUAAUUUGUAAGACACAAUUAGAUGUCGAAACGAUUUUCGAUUUGUCUAAUUUUUUGCAAAGAUGAUCUAUGGAUGUAGACUUAAAAAAAUAGAUAGUUUGGAUCGUUGAAAAAAAUUCCGUAUGGGACCCCAAAUGUAAAUGGUGUCACCAUAAAGAUUCAAGGACUUUAUAUACUGUUAUAAUGAUCUGAAGACCAAGUGAUCAAUACCUCGGUGGCUAUAAGUAUCAUUUCAACCAUAUUAGAUAACAUUUUGACCAGUAGCGGGGCCAGUAUUUCACAUUAGAGGGGGUCUUUCAUAAAAUUUGUCUUCUCUUCAUAAUUAUCAUGAAUUUCAUAUUUUAAAUUGGUUAAAUAUUAAUUUUAUCAUCUAAACUAUUAAAGACUUAAAAAUUAAUCAUUUAUAUUCCAACAGAUAAAAAGAAAUGGGGAAGAAAAAAGAGUUCAUAAAGUGCAAUAUUAAGGUACCCAACUCAUACGAAAAAAAAAUUAGGAAAAUAAAAAAUUAACAAAAGUUUAAAUAAAAUGUUAAAACUUUAGGAGUUUUUUGUGCAAAUAUCAUAAACUAGCCUCGAAGAUUUAAGGGAGAUAAAGAAAUUUUACAGUUUAUUUGUAUACAAAAAGAACAUAAUAUUUUAUUUUAUUUUAGAGUAAAUAUCCUAAAAUCAAUCUAAUAUAUUAUAAUAUUGUAUAUCAUAUAUAAUAUACAAAUAAAAUAGGUAAAAAUGGAGUGGGGACAUGGGACCACACUGGUCCCAUGCUGGCUUUGCCCCUGAUUCUGACUAUGUUUGAUAGAAUGGAAUAAGAAUACAUUUAUCAUGAAGACUGGGCAUCGUCUCUGCUAUUUCGAUUUCAACCAAAUAAAACUAGGGUUAAUUUCAAUUAGAAUGCUAAACUUUCACCCUUAAGGCACGUUUGUCUAUGCACUCUCAAAUUUAACAAUUAUGAAUUCUAAUCUUAUUAAUUUUUUGCAAUCUAGUUUAUGCAUUAACUUCACUAGUGAAAUUUCUGUUAAUUGCCCACGUGGCAGACUUGUGACCUACUUAUUCACUUCUUUUAAUGCUAGUUGAAGGGUAUUUUAGACAAUUGAUGUCAAAUGGGUUUGGGUGGGAAUUUUUUUAUUUGUGUCAAAUGGUUUGGGAGAGGAGACACCAAUUGCCUGAAAAUACCCUUCAAAUGACUUCAAAAGAAGUGAAUAGGUGGGACCUACCAUUGCCACGUAGGUAAUUAACAAAAUUUUUGACAUGUAAAGUUAAUGUUGGAACCAUAUUUCAAAAAAUUAAUAAGAUUAGGGUACAUAACUAUUAAAAUUGCAAGUGCAAACAUGCCUUAAGGGUGAAAGUUCAUGGUACUAAAUUGCCCAUUCAUAUUUGAGUGAUUUUGUAAAACUGAGAAAAGUAUUGGAAAAUUGAUUUGGUUGACGAAAGGCAGACAUCCUGGCGAAGAAAAGGGUACUGUAUUGUAGUCGGUUCUUUCAAUUAGGACCUUUUUUCCCUCUAAAAAAUCAUUAAGACUUUUGAACUAAUUAAUAAAUCCAUAUCAUUAAGCGAUGAUAUGACAUUGCCAUGUCACUUGGGAUCCAAUUGUCAAGUCACUUGAUACACAAAUUUAGUAUUUCUAGUAUUACCCUAAUUUAAUAUUUUGUCUCACGAUAUGUUGUUAAUAGUCGAUAUUAACAUUGCAACGUGUCCAGGUGGCAAUUCUCAUUUUCUUCCAAAGAUGAGGGUCUCAGAUCUUUCGGGGAGCGUAUUAUGAAUUUUCUUGUUAUGGUGCAAUAUGUACCACGAGUUCUUCGCAUCUACCUAUCAUGUAAGAAAGCUAGAAAACCUUUCAAAGGACAUAUCCCAUUAUGGCUUAAAGGUUUACUCAAUCUUUUUCUCUACGUUCUCGCUAGUCAUGUAAGUUUCACUUUAUCAUAAUUUAUUUAAUUUUAAAAAGUUCGCUUUCUUUAAAUAAAGGAUCAUAUUUUUCUCAAAAGUUCAAUCUAACAAGUUUGUUGUUUCUUUAGGUGCUUGGAGCGUUUUGGUACUUUUUUGCUGCUCAACAAAUGAUAAGUUGUUGGGAACAUGCAUGUCAAUAUGGAAAUGGAUGUGGCUCUACUACAUUUAAUUGUCACGAUCACCAAACGAUGAAAAAUAUUACAGUUCUAAAUAAUUCCUGCCCUAUAGAUCCACCAGAUACAACUCUCUUUGAUUUUGGUAUAUACCUAAAUGUCCUUCAGUCAGGUGCAUUGUGGUCAACAGACUAUCCCCUGAAGUUUUUGAACAGUUUUUGUUGGGGCCUGCGAAAUUUGAGGUUUGUACAUGUGAAACCAACGUAUACAUUGAUGCUGUUUUUUAAACUAGAGAGAUGGUUUUAGAUUUCCUUACAUUGAGCAAUUGAGAUUUGUAUAUAUUAUGUAUUCUGAUCCAUUUCAUGUUUGCAGUUCUCUUGCUUCAAAUCUCCAACCGAGUUUCUAUACAUGGGAAAUCGCCUUUGUAGCUUUUAUAUCUAUAAUCGGCUUGAUACUGUUUGUAUAUCUCAUUGGAAAUUUGCAGGUUGGUGCGGUGUAUAUAAAAAGUUCUCCUUAAGCUUAAAGCUCCUAAUUUGAUUUUUUUUUUUCCCUCAUUUAAUGAACUGAACCUUGUUGUUGUGAAGUAGACCUAUGUGCUUAUAGAUACUGAAAGGUUAGAGUCGCACAGACGCGAGAAUAAACUUAAACGGAAGAUUAAAGAAAAUGACCGAAAGGUAGAAUCAUGGUUAUCCGGCCAUGGCAUCCCCCUUAGCGAAAAGCAGAAGAUCAUGGAAGAGAUACAAAGAGAACUUGUUGAAAACUCGGAUUUUGAUGUGGUUAGGGAAAUCCUCUCUAUUCUUCCCCGCGAAUAUAUCAAAAGUUGCAGCCCAUUGAGUAGGCUGAGGAAGGUAGGUUCAUCGAAAACGCAUCGUAUUUAAAUUUUCUCCACCAUUAUUCGUAUCCAAUGAUGAUAUAUAUAUUAUAUUUUUAAUUGCUGAUUAUUUUUCUCAAAUAUUGUAUCUAUUUCUAGGUGCCACUACUUAAAGACAUGGACGAAGGAGUUUUGGUAGAAAUAUCUGAGAAGCUUCAUCCCAAGAAGUAUACUCCUGGACAAAUCAUUAUAAACAAGGAUGAAACACUUCAAAUGAUGCUUUUCAUCGUGGACGGAUGUGUAACCAUUGAUAAGAUAGAUUAUUCUCAGUUGGAACAUCUACGCCCAGGAGAUUUUUAUGGAGAGGAACUUCUAGUUUCCCCAUUGUGGACCUCGUCUGGUGAUGCAAAACCCAUAAACCAGUCUGUUCAAGCAAUUGAUGAUGUUCAAGCCCUUGUUCUCUCUGCCACAGACAUGGCGACCUUGAGCUUUAGUUCCAGGCGGCAUAUCAACGAGUUGCGCAUGGUGGUAACUAUUCUUCAGAAAGUAAGCUCCUCUCUAUUUAGAAGAUAUAUAAAAGAUGAAUAAUUGGAUUCUCACCUUCCAUCCUUGCUAGCUACUAACAUACAAUGACGUUACUUAUUUGUUUUAUAUAAUGUUCUCUUUAUGUUUGAGAAAUUAAUAAUGUGUCAAAUCCU
RNAcentral lists this long non-coding RNA (24873 nucleotides) under Prunus persica (peach). Its description in RNAcentral is "long non-coding RNA (PPER_LNC002796)". Lineage: Eukaryota; Viridiplantae; Streptophyta; Magnoliopsida; Rosales; Rosaceae. The record is from RNAcentral.